Non-coding RNA from Diachasma alloeum, 74 nucleotides. The record is from the annotation of a RefSeq genome assembly. Lineage: Eukaryota; Metazoa; Arthropoda; Insecta; Hymenoptera; Braconidae.
GGCUCCUUAGCUCAGUUGGUUAGAGCGUCGUGCUAAUAACGCGAAGGUCGUGGGUUCGAUCCCCCCAGGAGCCA